UAUAGAUUGCAUAGUUUUUAAAUUGCCAUUAUGCCAUGAAAUUUGAAUUUUCUCAAAAAUAUAUAAAUAUAAAUGCAUAUUGUUAUUUAAAAUUAGUUCAAAUUCGAUCUUUUAAAUAUCAACAUGAAAAUCUACUUUGCAUUGAUCGCUCUCUUAAUUUGUUGCAAUUUAACAACAGCUGCAGAGAAGAAAUGCGCACUAGAAUUGUGUACCCUUAGCAUCCCUCCCCAAUGUCAUUGUGCUCGAUAUGAAUGAUGUCUCCUCCUAGAAACGAAUAGGAUUAUACUACAUUCCUUGCAAAGAUUAACCAUCGCUCUAUUCACUUAAAAUAUGCACCACGAAUUAUAAUUCAUACAAUAAAACUUAUAUAAAAUAUG
Molecule: long non-coding RNA, 377 nt
Organism: Drosophila sulfurigaster albostrigata
Lineage: Eukaryota; Metazoa; Arthropoda; Insecta; Diptera; Drosophilidae
Exons: 2
Source: RefSeq, a predicted model, not a curated record